RNAcentral lists this long non-coding RNA (3175 nucleotides) under Sus scrofa (pig). Its description in RNAcentral is "lncRNA (ENSSSCG00015067188.1)". The record is from RNAcentral. Lineage: Eukaryota; Metazoa; Chordata; Mammalia; Artiodactyla; Suidae.
AGGAUGAGCUUGGAGUCAGACUGCCUGGCUUUAAAUCCCAGCUCUUCUGCCUACCGUGAAUUUCAGUUAACUAUUACUUUGUGCAUGGCUCUCCCCCCACCCCCCCAAAAAGCCCCACAAAACCUUCAGUGGCUUAAAACGAGUGUAUGUUAUUACUUAUGAAUCUGUAGAUCAGAUGGUUGGUUCUGAUCAUCUGGGUUAAAUUUGGCUCAAUUCAGCUGAGCUGAUUUCAUCUAGGAUUGCAUUUCUAUCUGGCCACCUGACAGGUUGGCUGGAAGCUGGCUGGUCUAUGGUGGCUUCUCACAUUUCUGGCCAUAGGCUGGCUCUCUGCUGGAUGAUGGAGAGUUACUGAGGCACACGUCUCUCAUCAUUUAUCAGGCAAGUCUGGGCUUGUUCACAUGGUGGCCACAGGAUUCCAAGAGGUAGUAGAAACGUAGGAGAUCUCUUGAGGUCUACACUUAGAAUUUUUUGACCUCAUUUCUUAUUUCAUUCCUUAAAUGUUAAUUAAUUCUGCCAUGUUCUGUUGGUUCCAGGCAAGUCAUGAGGCCAGACAAGAUUUAAGAUGUAAGGAAAGUAACUGUGCCUUGAGGAGAGGGACUGCAGUGUCACAUUGCUGGGGGUGUGGAUACAGGAAGGGUGGCGAAUUGGGCCCAUUUUAUAAUCAUUCUACCAUAUAGCGUGCUUAUGCACAAAUCUCUUCAUAUCUUUGAAUCUGCUUCCUAACUUGUAAAGAUGGUUAGGGGAGUAAUGAUACCUUUUGAGACAAUUUUGAAGAUUAGAUAAAAGUCUAUGUAAAGUGUCUAAGGUAGUGUCUUAAUAUAUGCCAGUAUGUUUAUUAUUAUUAUGUUUAUUAUUAUUAUUACUUGGUAAUAAUUAGCUGUUUUAUAUUCAUGACUAAAAUAACCACAGUAAUCCUGUGAUACUGUCAUUAUUUCCUUCUUACAGCUAAGGAGACAGACUGGGUUGUCUUAAGUUACCAAUAUGCGAAGGUUGGUGGUAGAUCCAACAUUUGAAGCAAGACUUUUUUUUUUCUUUUUUUUUCCUUGCUUUGAAAAUUUAAUAAUUGCCUUUUAGAGCCAGUACAGGGGGGUAAAACAUGUGGGCUCUGGAACUAUCUGUGUUAGAGUCCUUGUGCCAGACCUUUAAAUUACUUAACCUCUUUGUGCCUCACUUUCGAGAGAAGGAGAUUGCUUACCUUGCAAGGUUGUGGGUGAUGACUAAAUGAACUAAUGUACAUUAAAUGUUUGGAACUGUGGGUAUAGGCUAGGCGGAUACUCAGUAAGUUGUUAUUUCUUCUCCUCUCAUUAAUACACCAUGCUACUUUUAGUCUGAACCUUUUAAAAGCUCUCUUAUUGAAAACAUUAAAUGAGGCUGAAAUUAUUACCCUUUUAUAAUUUUUUUCAUCAAGUAGUAUUAACCUUUAUGGUUAGUUUCCUAAUAUAAUAAUUAUGGAUUUUACUGGUGUGAAUUGCUUAUAUUAUAUAGGAACAUUUCACUUUGAGGGAAAAUUACUCCAUGGUAUUUUUCCCCCCACCUCCUUUCUGAGCUUUUCUUACAUAAUGUCAUUUAUUUCUAUGGCUUCUGUUCAGUGUUGGUUACUCCCAAAUUAACAUAAGAAGUUUGACCUCGUUCCUGAUUUCAUUCCUUAAUUGUUUUUUCUUCUCUCUCCAAUUAGUAAUUAAAUUUACUAUUUUUGUUCUUUCUCACACUCUCUCUUCUCCUUUAUGCUUAUUGCUUUUGGUUUAGUGAAGAUCCUUCUCAUUUUUUUCUUUUUCUUUGAUACCUGAUUUUAUUUGAAACUCUUAGAGGUUUUUUUUUUUUUCUUCCCCAUUUUUUGGCCAUCCCACGGCAUGUGGCAUUCCUGGGCCAGGGAUCAGUUCCGAGCUGCAAUCGCAACCUAAGCUGCAGCUGAGGCAAAGCCAGAUCCUUAACCCACUGUGCCAGGGGAUUGAACCUGCAUCCCAGCACUCCCAAGAUGCUGUUGAUCCUGUUGUGUCACAGCAGGGACUCCUAGAACAUUUUAUUUUUGACUAGACUCAGACGUAGGGGACAGCUUCUCUCUCUCAGUAGCCUGUUCCUAGCAGUUUUUCUUUGGCCUCCUUCAUUCUCUUGGCCAACAGUUUAGUGUAUUCUGCAGGCUUUCCUUACUGUUCUUGGUACCCUGUUCCUUCAAAGCAGUAUGCUGAUGUUUGUGUUGCAGGACACGUGGAGUAACAAACAUUGAUGAUGGGUUUUUUGGUCCUAGGUUUCUUACCUCUUUGUUUAGGGCUUUCUUACAACGUACUGGUGAACAUCCUCUUCUUCAGAGAGAUCAAAAAGUUUGUGAAUCCUAGCUAUUUUGGUCUCCAGUCAGUCAGCAUAUACAUGAUUUACAUUCUUUUCUUCCAUUCCCUUGAUGAUUUCACUUUCUUUUGUUUUUGUCUUUUCUAGGGCCGCACCCAUGGCCUAUGGAGGUUCCCAGGCUAGGGGUCUAAUCAGAGCUGUAACCGCCAGCCUACGCCAGAGCCACAGCAUCUGUCUGAAACCUACACCACAGCUCAUGGCAAUGCCGGAUCCUUAACCCACUGAGCAAGGCCAGAGAUCGAACCUGCAACCUCUUGGUUCCUAGUUGGAUUUGUUAACCAUUGAGCCACGACAGGAACUCCUUGAUAGUUUCACUUUCUUGGUGUUACCUUUUGAAGCACAAAAGUUUUUUGGUUUUGUUAUAAAUCCCCACUUACCCUUGUAUUAAGAGUUGAGCCCAGUCUCUCUCCUUUGUUGUUAUAUAGUCUUGACACUUAAAGGGGUCUGGAAUAAGCUAUUGUGUGGCAUUAAAAUUAUUUCGUGAAGGAUGCAUUUGAGUUCCUGAAAUCUCUGAUCUGCUUAAAAGCAGAUAGUUCUUCCCCAGAGAACCCACUUGUCCUAAAUUCUCUUGUCAGGAGUUCCUGAGGUGGCUCAGCAGGUAACGAACCUGACUAGAAUCCAUGAGGACGCAGGUUCGUUCCCUGGCCUCACUCAGUGGGUUAAGGAGCCAGGGUUGCCCUGAGCUGUGAUGUAGGUUGCAGACAGAGGCCUGGAUCUGACAUUGCUGUGACUGUGGAGUAGGCUGGCAGCUGCACCUCCAAUUCAACCCCUGGCGUGGGAACAUUUGCCGUGGGUGUGGCUCUCAAAAGACCAAAAAAAAAAAAAAAAAAAA